GACGAACGCUGGCGGCGUGCUUAACACAUGCAAGUCGAACGGAAAGGCCCUGCUUGCAGGGUACUCGAGUGGCGAACGGGUGAGUAACACGUGGGUGAUCUGCCCUGCACUUCGGGAUAAGCCUGGGAAACUGGGUCUAAUACCGGAUAGGAGCCAUUUUUAGUGUGAUGGUUGGAAAGUUUUUUCGGUGUAGGAUGAGCUCGCGGCCUAUCAGCUUGUUGGUGGGGUACUGGCCUACCAAGGCGGCGACGGGUAGCCGGCCUGAGAGGGUGGACGGCCACAUUGGGACUGAGAUACGGCCCAGACUCCUACGGGAGGCAGCAGUGGGGAAUAUUGCACAAUGGGCGCAAGCCUGAUGCAGCGACGCCGCGUGGGGGAUGACGGCCUUCGGGUUGUAAACUCCUUUCGCUAGGGACGAAGCUUUUUGUGACGGUACCUAGAUAAGAAGCACCGGCUAACUACGUG
This 465-nucleotide ribosomal RNA is filed under the name uncultured bacterium. RNAcentral's name for it is "partial 16S ribosomal RNA". It matches the Rfam family "Bacterial small subunit ribosomal RNA", at positions 28 to 507 of the family's 1533-position model. The record is from RNAcentral.